AGAGUUUGAUCCUGGCUCAGAUUGAACGCUGGCGGCACGCUUAACACAUGCAAGUCGAACGGCAGCGGGAGAAAGCUUGCUUUCUCGCCGGCGAGUGGCGGACGGGUGCGUAAUGCGUAGGAACUUGCCCUGAAGAGGGGGACAACCCGGGGAAACUCGGGCUAAAACCGCAUAAUACUUUUCGAAGGAAAACUGCCUCACACUUAAGUUACUUUAAAUAAGGUAACUUAAGGUGAGGUGGUGCUUUAGGAGGGGCCUACGUUGGAUUAGCUUGUUGGUGGGGUAAAGGCUCACCAAGGCUAUGAUCCAUAGCUGUUCUGAGAGGAAGAUCAGCCACACUGGGACUGAGACACGGCCCAGACUCCUACGGGAGGCAGCAGUGGGGAAUAUUGGACAAUGGGGGAAACCCUGAUCCAGCGAUGCCGCGUGUGUGAAGAAGGCCUGCGGGUUGUAAAGCACUUUUAAUGGGGAGGAAUAGUUCCAUGUUAAUAGCGUGGAGCAGUGACGUUACCCAUAGAAUAAGCACCGGCAAACUCUGUGCCAGCAGCCGCGGUAAUACAGAGGGUGCGAGCGUUAAUCGGAAUGACUGGGCGUAAAGGGCACGUAGGCGGUUGGACAAGUUAGAUGUGAAAUAUCAGGGCUUAACCUUGGUGCUGCAUCUAAAACUGUUUAACUAGAGUUCACUAGAGGGAAGCGGAAUUUCCGGUGUAGCGGUGAAAUGCGUAGAUAUCGGAAGGAACAUCAGUGGCGAAGGCGGCUUUCUGGAGUUGAACUGACGCUAAGGUGCGAAAGCGUGGGGAGCGAACGGGAUUAGAUACCCCGGUAGUCCACGCUGUAAACGAUGAGUACUAGCUGUUGGAAUGCGACGACAUUUUAGUAGCGUAGUUAACGCGAUAAGUACUCCGCCUGGGGAUUACGGCCGCAAGGCUAAAACUCAAAGGAAUUGACGGGGGCCCGCACAAGCGGUGGAACAUGUGGUUUAAUUCGAUGCGACGCGAAGAACCUUACCUACUCUUGACAUCUAUGGAACAUCUGAGAGAUCAGUUGGUGCUGGAAACAGAACCAUAAGACAGGUGCUGCAUGGCUGUCGUCAGCUCGUGUCGUGAGAUGUUGGGUUAAGUCCCGUAACGAGCGCAACCCUUGUCCUUAGUUGCCAGCACAUUAUGGUGGGGACUCUAAGGAGACUGCCGGUGAUAAGCCGGAGGAAGGUGGGGAUGACGUCAAGUCAUCAUGGCCUUUAUGAGUAGGGCUACACACGUGUUACAAUGGGCAGUACAGAGGGAGGCCAAGCCGUGAGGUGGAGCGGAACUCAGAAAACUGUUCGUAGUCCGGAUUGAAGUCUGCAAUUCGACUUCAUGAAGUUGGAAUCGCUAGUAAUCGCGAAUCAGAACGUCGCGGUGAAUACGUUCCCGGGCCUUGUACACACCGCCCGUCACACCAUGGGAGUGGGUUGCAAAAGAAGUGGGUAGCUUACCAUUGGGCGCUCACCACUUUGUGAUUCAUGACUGGGGUGAAGUCGUAACAAGGUA
This 1529-nucleotide ribosomal RNA is filed under the name metagenome. Its description in RNAcentral is "bacterial SSU rRNA". It matches the Rfam family "Bacterial small subunit ribosomal RNA". The record is from RNAcentral.